CGACCGGCGCACGGGUGGGUAACGCGUAUCCAACCUGCCUUACACUCUUGGACAGCCUUCUGAAAGGGAGAUUAAUACAAGAUGUUAUCAUGAGUAAGCAUUUUCGCAUGAUUAAAGGUUUACCGGUGUAAGAUGGGGAUGCGUUCCAUUAGAUAGUAGGCGGGGUAACGGCCCACCUAGUCUUCGAUGGAUAGGGGUUCUGAGAGGAAGGUCCCCCACAUUGGAACUGAGACACGGUCCAA
RNAcentral lists this ribosomal RNA (242 nucleotides) under uncultured bacterium. RNAcentral describes it as "partial 16S ribosomal RNA". It matches the Rfam family "Bacterial small subunit ribosomal RNA", at positions 92 to 334 of the family's 1533-position model. The record is from RNAcentral.